Molecule: unclassified non-coding RNA, 148 nt
Organism: Macaca fascicularis (crab-eating macaque)
Lineage: Eukaryota; Metazoa; Chordata; Mammalia; Primates; Cercopithecidae
Rfam family: Metazoan signal recognition particle RNA
About the family: The signal recognition particle (SRP) is a universally conserved ribonucleoprotein. It is involved in the co-translational targeting of proteins to membranes.
Source: Ensembl
GCUGGGCAUGGUGGCGUGUGCCUGUAAUCUCAGCUUCUCAGGAGGCUGAGGCAGGAGAAUUGUUUGAACCCAGGAGGCAGGGGUUGCAGUGAGCCGAGAUCACGCCACUGCACUCUGGCCUGGGUGACAGAGCAAGACUUCGCCUCAA